Xenia sp. Carnegie-2017 is the source of this 430-nucleotide long non-coding RNA. RefSeq lists it as uncharacterized. The transcript is spliced from 3 exons. NCBI's taxonomy places the organism in Eukaryota, Metazoa, Cnidaria, Anthozoa, Malacalcyonacea, Xeniidae. The record is from RefSeq and is a predicted model, not a curated record.
GGAUCAAUGCUUUUAAUAAAUGAUAUUAUAACAUCUUGUGAUUUCCGUCUGGUGGUAUUGCAUCUGUAUUUUGGACAGUUACUACAAUUUGUCCAUUUUUCCAGCUAUUAUCACCAACUUGAGCCCUGCCGUACCAAUAAUAUAUGAAAAGACUAAUGAAAUUAAUUGUUGGUGAUAAUGCAAGAAAGGUCAGUAUUUUGAAAUGAUAAAUUAUGCAAUGUGUUAUUGGGAAAAUCCCACGAAAAUUAACAGAUGUAUCAAUAUAAACAUAUAAAGUGUUAAUUCCAACACGAAAAUGAUAUACAGGUUUUUUAUGACAAAUAUAACAAAAUUCUAGGCAUAAGAACAAACAAUGACACUAUGAUAGGUAAACUUUAUAAUCAACACAUCCUAAUAAAUUUUGAAAGAUUAAAGAAGACGCAACCAUCUA